UAACGCGAAGAACCUUACCAGGUCUUGACAUCCCUUGACAACUCCAGAGAUGGAGCGUUCCCUUCGGGGACAAGGUGACAGGUGGUGCAUGGUUGUCGUCAGCUCGUGUCGUGAGAUGUUGGGUUAAGUCCCGCAACGAGCGCAACCCUUAUUACUAGUUGCCAGCAUUCAGUUGGGCACUCUAGUGAGACUGCCGGUGACAAACCGGAGGAAGGUGGGGAUGACGUCAAAUCAUCAUGCCCCUUAUGACCUGGGCUACACACGUGCUACAAUGGCGUAUACAACGAGUUGCCAACCCGCGAGGGUGAGCUAAUCUCUUAAAGUACGUCUCAGUUCGGAUUGUAGGCUGCAACUCGCCUACAUGAAGUCGGAAUCGCUAGUAAUCGCGCAGCAC
Molecule: ribosomal RNA, 394 nt
Filed under: Weissella confusa
Lineage: Bacteria; Bacillati; Bacillota; Bacilli; Lactobacillales; Lactobacillaceae
Description: bacterial SSU rRNA
Rfam family: Bacterial small subunit ribosomal RNA
Source: RNAcentral